UACGUAGGUGGCAAGCGUUGUCCGGAUUUACUGGGCGUAAAGAGCGCGCAGGCGGUCGUUCAAGUCGAGUGUGAAAGCCCCCGGCUCAACUGGGGAGGGUCACGCGAUACUGAUCGACUCGAAGGCAGGAGAGGGUAGUGGAAUUCCCGGUGUAGUGGUGAAAUGCGUAGAUAUCGGGAGGAACACCAGUGGCGAAGGCGACUACCUGGCCUGUUCUUGACGCUGAGGCGCGAAAGCUAGGGGAGCAAACGGG
RNAcentral lists this ribosomal RNA (253 nucleotides) under uncultured bacterium. Its description in RNAcentral is "partial 16S ribosomal RNA". It matches the Rfam family "Bacterial small subunit ribosomal RNA", at positions 524 to 776 of the family's 1533-position model. The record is from RNAcentral.